GUAUCCGGCCUGAGAGGGCGCACGGACACACUGGAACUGAAACACGGUCCAGACUCCUACGGGAGGCAGCAGUGGGGAAUUUUGCACAAUGGGGGAAACCCUGAUGCAGCAAUGCCGCGUGGAGGAUGAAGUUCUUUGGAACGUAAACUCCUUUCGAUCGGGACGAUUAUGACGGUACCGGAAGAAGAAGCCCCGGCUAACUCUGUGCCAGCAGCCGCGGUAAUACAGAGGGGGCAAGCGUUGUUCGGAAUUAUUGGGCGUAAAGGGUGCGUAGGCGGUGCGGUAAGUCUUUUGUGAAAUCUCCGGGCUCAACUCGGAGCCUGCAAAGGAUACUGUCGUGCUUGAGUAUGGGAGAGGUGAGUGGAAUUCCUGGUGUAGCGGUGAAAUGCGUAGAUAUCAGGAGGAACACCUGUGGCGAAAGCGGCUCACUGGACCAUUACUGACGCUGAUGCACGAAAGCUAGGGGAGCAAACAGGAUUAGAUACCCUGGUAGUCCUAGCCCUAAACGAUGAUUGCUUGGUGUAGCGGGUACCCAAUCCCGCUGUGCCGUAGCUAACGCGUUAAGCAAUCCGCCUGGGGAGUACGGUCGCAAGGCUG
RNAcentral lists this ribosomal RNA (597 nucleotides) under uncultured bacterium. RNAcentral describes it as "bacterial SSU rRNA". It matches the Rfam family "Bacterial small subunit ribosomal RNA", at positions 283 to 896 of the family's 1533-position model. The record is from RNAcentral.